Molecule: long non-coding RNA, 471 nt
Organism: Anguilla anguilla (European eel)
Lineage: Eukaryota; Metazoa; Chordata; Actinopteri; Anguilliformes; Anguillidae
Exons: 3
Source: RefSeq, a predicted model, not a curated record
GCUACACCUGGUCAACCCCCUCUGAUGGCUCAAGUUACAGCUCCAGCAAGCACCCGGGGCACAUGACAACAGACCGCACUCAUUUAUAGCUGGUAUGUGAGAGCUACAUUUCCAAGAAGAUGGUGUCCUUUGGGUUCAAAGCACUAUUGGACAUGAUACAUCAAUCAAUAACCAGAAACAACUCCCAUGAUGACCUUUCCCUCCGUUUCCACACAAGAUCAUCCGAAGGACCAUCUGUUACCAUUAUUCCUGGACUGUAUUUGGAAUGAAUGUAAAGACCACAUGCCUGCAUCAUUCAUCUUGAUCGUGCAAUGACUCCCUGGAGGACUGGCCAGCCACCCUAUCACACACUUUAAUCAAAUGCACUCAGAGCUCUGUGACAGCGCUCUGUCAAUGGCAGAGAAUCCUCCCGCCCCUCUAUUGGCACAUAAUUGCUCCUUCUGCUCCUUUCCACCUUCCCACAUGCGUCUC